UCUUUGCCUGUACGCUUCUAUUUUGGGGCUUCUUAAUCUCCUUCAUCAACUGUUUUUUUCCUUUCUCAUAUUUAGGGUUUUUUUAUGUUCGAUUUUCCGGUCAUCGGUAGGAUUUAGGGGUUUUUUGUGUUUGGAUCUUUCUAUCAUCGGUAAGGUAAUUUCUGAUUUUUGUUAUUUUAUACAGUUUUCCUAGGGCAAACUCAACAGCCGAAUCCCCGUAAAUUUGUUUCGCCGAUUUUCUAUUCUUGCGGAUUCGGAUUAUUCCUUCAGUUUUGUUGCCAUGCACUUUGCAUUCCGGAACCACAUUUCUGGUUUUAGUUUGACCAACGUUUUUUAAAAAAAGGUUCUCAUGAGUGUUAGUUUUAGUUUGGAAUUCUAGUUUUGUUCAUAAAUCAUAGAAAUUUUGAUUUUUUUGGGUUUUCUAGGGUUUAUGUAACAUGCUUGAAUUUUGAUGGAUGAUAAUUCGCUAACUCGAUUUCUAUUCUGUUCUCUCCCUUUAAUGGAUACUUCUGUGUUAUACUUACGACCAAAGAAAAUAGUGUUAUAUAUUGUUUAGAAAGUAUUUAAUGUGAAAUGUGAACUAUUAAUUGAAAUGGGUUUUUGAAAUGUUAUUUGAUUCUGAGUUAGUAUAUCAGUUGAUUUUUUUUGUAUCUUGUUGCAUGUUCCAUAUUUGCCGGUAGACAAUGAUUCUUCUCAAAUGUCAAUUGAAAUGGAUUAUUUUGUUGCUUGGUGCUACAUUUUUUUGAUGCUAAUUGAUUUGUAAGUCAGUGAUUCAGUUCAAGUUUUAUUUUGUUGAAAGAAGUUUUUGAUGCUCCGACUCUGUAUUUAUUAGAAUAAUGUUGGUGCUUGGGGUUGUCUUGUUUAUCUCUGUCCGUAAGUAAACAUUCUCUUGGCUGCUGACUUUUGUCUGUUAUGAUUAUGAUAUGAUGUUCUGUAGCUUUUUGAUGCUUCUAAUACAAAUUUAUGUUGAUAUAUUGAAGCUGUUAACGGUUAUGCUUAUCAAGAUGUUAGGGCUGACAGCAACAGGUAUUUGCAUUUUCAAUUGCCUCAUUAUGUUAGUUUAAGGCGGUACUUGUUCCAAUUUCUGUGUUGAGGUCCUUAUUCUUUAGCCUAUGUCUUAUAUUAUAGGUAUAUAGGAUCAAGUACUAAGCAACUGUUCGAUGCAGUGGUGUUUGAAUCCUGCUGUUGACGUUCCGACACAACUUUUUGUAAUGCACUGACAUUGUAUAAAUAAUUUUCUUUUCUUCGAGAUGAUAAUAAAAUUCCUUGCAAUGUAUGUGAUACUUUUUUCAAUGAGCUGGGUGUAUAAGAAAAUGCUCUAAUGGUCGUUUACUAAACUACUGUCAUGUUCUAUUCUAUUCUAGUUUAAUAUUUACUGUUUGUUAGGCUUGUGAAUUAAUUUGCUUAGAAUCCUGUAUCUGAUAGUUCCUUGGAUAAGUUGGCAUCCUGCAUGUUAUUUAGUACUCAUUCAUAACUUAUUACAAAAUUGCAUGUCUACUAGAAAUCAUGUGAGCUUUGCCCGCACAGGAUCUAAUCCUGCCAUUCACGUCAUGAACUCGCAAUUUUAUUCACUUUUGUUAUGCAUGGUGCUGCUCAAAAAUAUCAUUGUUGAAACAAGAAUGCUUAUGGAUGUUUGUGCCAAAUUUUAUAUCUGUACAAUUUUUCUUUGCUAAAAGUUAAACCAGAAAUUUUUGUGUCACUUUUUUUUAUAUGCUUAAAACUUGCCUUUGCUGCUUAGGUAAAGUUUUAAUUGGCGUUUGUUUGAAUGAUCAUUGACGAACUUUACUAAGUGAUAAGAAGUAUCUCGAUUCUCAGACACUUCUUUUGUUUCUUAUUAUGCUUUAUCUUCUUCAUUUAUUCCUAGCAAUUCUCUAUUACAUAACUGGUCAUGCUUUGUUGGAAAUUCAUUAUUUAGAGUCCUGACAAUCAGUGUGGUGGUCACCCAUUGUACAGCUUAUUUAUGAGUGCAGGAUAACUAUUAGAGCUUUAAUUGGGAGCAUUUUAAUAUGAGUGGUUGAGCCAGAGUGGUUAUCAUGCAUGACUAGAAAUCAUGUGGGCUCAGGUUUGAAUCCUUCUGUUCUUGUUUCUAUUUUCACUACUUGUGUUCCAUUUAUGCAACUGAUGUCAUCUGCAAUAUUAUAGAUUCAGUUUGGUGAUUGUACGUUGUCCUACUUUGAGUUGGUUUCAAGAAUUUGGAAUAAUAUGAAAUCACUAUCUAAGAUACUUUUUUAGGAGUUUUAUUUGUUGCUUCAUGAAAUACUUUCAACCAGAAGGACAUUUGUGUUACUUGCAUCGUAUUUGUUUAAAAUUUAUCUUUGUUGCUUAGGUCAAGUUUUAAUUGACGUUUGUUUGAAUGAUCAUAGAGGAACUGUAAGUAUCGAAAUCUGCAUACGCUUCUUUUGUUUUCUGUUAUGCUUGACCUUCUUGAUUUUUUCCUAGCUAUCUGCGCUUAAAUAAUCAGGUCUUGCUUUGUUGUAAAAUCAUUAUUUAUAGUCUUCAGCGUCACUGUGGUGGUCACCCAUUGAGCAGAUUAUUCAUUAGUAUUGAGCAUGAAAUGGGAGCAUUUAAAUAUGAAUUGGAUGAGCCGGAGUGGUUAUCGUGCAUGACUAGAAAUCAUGUGGGCUCAGGUUCAAAAUUUCAAAUCCUCCAGUUUUGUUUCUAUUUUCGUUACUUGUGUACAAUCUAUGCAACUAAUGUCAUCUACAAUAUUACAGAUUCUGUUUGGUGAUUGUACAUGGUCUUACGUUUGGUUAGUGUCACAAAUUCGGAAUCAUCUGAAAUCACUAUUUAGGUGACUUUUUUUAGGAGUUUAUUUGUUGCUUCAUGGAAUAAAUAUUUUACAAACAUGUUGAAAUAUUAUUGUAGUGAUAUUCAAACAAUUUUUUCUUUUACAUAUUCCCAUAGUAGUGAUAUUCAAACAAUUUUUCAAGGAGUUUUAUUUGUUGCUUCAUGGAAUAAAUAUUUUACAAUUAUGUUAAAAUAUUUAUAGAACAUGUGAAAUAAUUUGCUUUGCAUGCACGGUUUUGAAUCCUACCGCUCACGUUUAAUCUUCUUAGUUAAAGGUUCAAAGGGGAGUGCUGGAAGUUUGUCUGAAUGAUUGAAUGAUUAUAGAGGAACUGCUUUUUUUUGAUAAGUAUCUUAAUUCUGAUGCACUCUCUAUUUUCUAUUAUGUUUGACUACUUGAUAUACUCCAAGUGAUCCACAAUAAAAUACGCGUCUUACUUUACUGUAAAAUCAUUAUUUGGAUUCCUGACAAUCGCUUGUGGUGGUAACUUUGUGAGGAUCUUCUUUAAAAAUGCAGGAUUAGCAUUAGUGUGGAUGAUUUGGGAGUUUUUCAAUAUGAAGUGGAAAGGCGAUGUGGUUAUUGGGCAUGACUAGAAACUAUGUGGUUUCUGUCUGCACACGUAAAAAUCUUGCUGUUCAGGUUUCUAUUUUCACCACAUGUCUGUACCGUCUAUGCAAUUUUGUUAGCUGUAUUAUAUAGAUUCAGUCUGUUGAUUGGUGAUGAUACAUGGUCUUAAUUGUUGUCAUGAAUUUCAAAUCUCUUCACGGUGUGUUGAAAUCAUGUAUUGGUGAUAUUUGUAUGAAAAACUCAUGCAUUCUCAUUCUUAGAAGUGUAACCUGAUUAGACAUUUGAAUAUGUGCAGCUAUGUUCUACUAUUGUAAAUUGUUCGUUUGUCUUUGGGGUACUGUUUGAUAAAUUUCUAAAGUAUUGCAUUCUUUGACACGAAAACAAAGACGCCCCAAUAUUUUAGCCCUGGACUGGUUUAUUGAUAUUUUAUCAGUAUUUAUGUGAUUGUUUAGAUUUUGAGCUUUCGCUAACAAUACGUUGAUUGUAAGUGAUACUACCAGAAUAUUUACUGGUCAUGACCAAAAAUAUUCCUGCUUUGACAACCUUUAAUCUACUUUAACUUAUAGCUCAGAUACAAGAUUGAAGUGAAAGUGCAUGAGGUUGGUUGAAUUGAUUGCAAGAAAUGUAUUCAUUUUCCUUCACAAGCAGAUGAAUUGAUUUAUAUGUCAGUGAUCAGUCAGUUUUUGUUGGUUUUUGUCUGUUUGAUUCAAAUUUUUAAUUUGUUGACGAAUUUUUUGAUGCUCCGACUCUGUAAUUACUAGAAUAAUGUUGGUGCUUGAGGUUGUCUCGUUUAUCUCUAUCCCUAAGUAAACAUUCUUUUAGCUACUGACUUUAUAUCUUUUAUGAUAUUAUGAUAUGAUGUUCUGUAGUUUUUUGAUGCUUCUAAUACAAAUUUAUGUUGAUAUAUUGAAGUUGUUUACCAGUUAUGCUUAUCAAGGUGUUAGGGCUGACAGGUUUUGCAUUUUCAAUUGCCUCAUUAUAUUGGUUAAAGGCGGUACUUGUUCCAAUUUCUUUGUUGAGGUCCUUAUUUCUUAUAUUAUAGGUAUACAAGAUCAAGCACCAAUCAACUGUUCAACGCAGUGGUGUUGAAUCUUGCUUUUGACGUUUUGACUUAACCUUUUGUAAUGCACUAAUAUUGUAUAAAUCACUUUCAUUUCUUCUAGAUGAUAAUAAAAUUUAUUGCAAUGCUUGUGAUACUAUUUUUUAAUGAUGGGGGUGUAUAAGAAAAUACACUAAUGGUUGUUAAACUACUGUCAUUUUAUUUUAAUUUAGUUUGUUUGUUAGGCUUGUGAAUUAAUUUGCUUAGAAUCUUGUAUCUACAACAUUCCUUUGAUAAGUUCGUUGACGUGCCGGAUGUUAAUCGUGCAUGACUAUAAAUCAUGUGGGCUUUGCCCUCGCAGGUUCUAAUCCUGUUGUUCAUGUUGCAAACUCACAAUUUUAUGUAUCUUCCGUUAUGCAUUUUGCUGCUCAAAAAUAUCAUUUUUGAAACAAGAAUGCUUAAGGAUUUUGUACCAAAUUUUGUAUUUGUACAGUUUUUCUUUGCUAAAAGUUAAUCAGAAUGACAUUUGUGUUACUUUUAUCAUAUUUUCUUACAGCUUGCCGUUGCUGCUUAGGUAAAGAUUUAAUUGACGUUUGUUUAAAUGAUCAGAGGAACUGUACUAAGUGAUAAGAAGUAUCUCAAUUCCAUACACUUCUUUUGUUUCGUAAUUACUAUUAUUCUUAACCUCUUGAUUUAUUCCUAGCAAUCUAUAAUUAAAUAAUUGGGCCAUGCUUUGUUGGAGAAUCAUUAUUUAGAGUCCUGUGAGUGGGGUGGUCACCAUUGUGCACGUUAUUUAUGAGUGCAGGAUUACUAUCUGUAGAGCUUUAAUUGGGAGCAUUUCAAUAUGAAAUGGCUGAGCGAGAGUGGUUAUCGUGCAUGCCUAGAAAUCAUGCGGGCUCAGAUUUGAAUCCUUCUGUUCUUGUUUUUAUUUUCGUUACUUGUGUACCAUCUAUGCAAUUGAUGUCAGCUGCAAUAUUACAGAUUCAGUUUUGUUAUUGUAAGUUGUCUUGCAUUGAGUUAGUGUCACGAAUUUGGAAUAAUCUGAAAUCACUAUCUAAUUGACCUUUUUUAGGAGUUUCAUUUGUUGCUUAGUGGAAUUAAUUUCUUAUAAAUAUGUUGAAAUCUUAUUUUAAUGAUAUUCAGACAAUUUUUUUUACAUAUUCCCUUUAUUAAAAGUGAAGCCAACUAGUAUCCCCCUUCAGUCUUAAACUAUUCUUUUGUCUUCGAAGUACUGUGAAUUAUUUUUUUUUUUGUCCGCACAAGUUUGAAUCCUACUGCUCACGUUUUUUUACUUUUUAGUUCAAGUAUUAAUGGGGAGUGCUGGAUGCUUGUCUGAAGGACUGAAUGACUGUGGAGGAGCUUCUUUUUUUGACAUGUAUCUUGAUUCUGAUGCAGUUUCUGCUUUCCUAUUAGGAAAACAAAGAUGCCCCAGUAUUCUUGCCCUACUGGACUGGUUCAUUGAUAUUUCAUCUGUUUUUAUGUGAGUAUUUAGAUUUCGGACUUUUAAAUACGUUGAUUUUAGGUGAACCUACUGAAGUAUUCAGUGGUCAUGACCAAAAAUAUGCCAAGCUUCGGCAACCUUUGAUCUUGUUUGCCUCAUAGCUCAGAUACAAGAUUGAAGUGAAAGUGCAAAAGGUUUGUUGAAUUGAUUGCAGGAAGUAUAUUCUUUUUCCUUCACAAGCAGAUGAAUUAACUUAAAACUGCUACUACUAAUUUAAGUGGAUAUGCCAGAGUGAUUAUCUGUUCUGACUUGAAAUUUUGAGGUCUUUGCCUACAACAGGUUUGAAUCUUGGCAAUUUUUCCUGCUAGAAUAUAAGGUUUACCAUUUGGAAGGUGAUGUAUGUGUAUUUCAGGGUCACUGAAGAUUCUGGAGCUAUUUAUUAUUAUGUGACCAGAAGGCAUACGGUGAUAAGUUGCUGAUGUUCUUUUCCUUUUUUUCUUAGCAUUGCAUUAUGCCAUCAUCCUGGUAUUUUUCUUGUGCUCAAUUGUUCAAUGUUAGUGUAAACUUGUAGGUUAUCAGUUGAUAAGUUGACAUGUGUGAUAAAAGAUCUCUUCAGCUAUUGUGCAUAGUUCCACAUGGGAUGAACGUGCUGGAGUGGUCAUCUAGCAUGACCUCAUUUGGGCUUUACCUGUGCAGCGUUCCUUGAAGGAGUUGGCGUUCUGCAGGAUAUUAAGUAUUCAUUCUUAAAUUAUUCUUAAAUUGCAUGUCCACUACCUCCUCUCAAGUAAGUGGACGCGCCGGAGUGGUUAUGUGAUUUGGUGCCCUCUUAGGAGCAGUUCAGAAGCCAUUUUUGUUUCCAGAGUUCUAAUUGUAUUCCGAUGGUGAAGACAUCUUUAUAACCGGUGAAAUAAGUUUUGCUGGAGGACUGCAAAAUUACUGUUAAUUACAUUACGAGCCUGACAUGCAAUGGAAAUAUCCAAGUGGUAAUCGAGCAUGAUUAGAAAUUAUGAGUUCUGGCUGCACAAGGUUGAGUCCUGUUUAAAUUUCAGGGCGCUGUAAAUUGAAACAAGAAUUAUGAUUUGGGUUGUUGUCUCUUACAUGUGAUUUUGUGCCUUCUUAGGAGCCGUUUAGAUGCCAUUUUUGUUUCCAGGUAUCUUGAUACACUUCUCUGUUUAUCUUUUCUCAUUUUUUUUGCUCAUAAAAUUUCAUGUUAAUGAUUGUAGAACUUCUAAAUCGGAUCGGCUGAGAAUUCUGAUUGCAGUCUAGGUGCAAUAAGAUUAUGCAUUGCUCGUCUUACAAAGGUUGAUUCUUAUUCUGUGAUGGACAUCUAAAUUAUUUGAUUGUUGCUGUCGUGCAUGGUGGUGGUGUGGGUUAGAUUGUUCACACUUGUAGGAACUAACCCUAGAUUUCACCUCAUUGGAUAUUCUAAGCAUGUUCAACCGCACAGAUAAAAAAUUAGGGGCCUCAGCAUAAAUUUUUUUAGCAUAUGUUAGGUGUUUCAAGAUACAAAAUUGUUAGAAAAAACAUCAUAAUUUUUAAAAUUGCAUAGGGUCUUUAUAAAAUGGACUUUGUUAUACAUAGCCCUAAGGGCUAUGUAUAAAAAUUAGCAAAUUUCUAUAAUAAAUGUACAUGGACUAAUUUCAAUGGAAUCUUUGACAAGUUUAUUAAUAGAUCAACAAAUUACUCAUUAAAUUAGCCUUGUAAAAUAAUUAAUCUUUGACAAGUUCACCACAAAAUUAAAGUAAUAAAUUGCUCUUAUAUUGAAAAAAGAAAUUACUCAUGAUUUAUAUGGGGAAUAUAAAAGAAUCUUAUUAGCAUUAAUGGUUAUAUGUAGCCCUUCAUUUGCCUUAUAAAAUUUAUCAAUUUUUGCUCCGCCUUUUUUCGACUACAUAUUUACUAAAAACAAUUUCUUGUUGAAUUAUUCUAAGCUUUUGAUAAGCAUCAGAAAUAGAAUUAUGAGUAUUUUUAGUUUAAUCAUCAUCAAUUGAUUGAUGAUGAAUCAAGCAUACAAAUACUAAUAAAGCUACUUUCGGCGCUGCGUUAACAAAACUAGCAAACGGCAAUAUUCACUACAGUACUGUAGAAGUGUAGAUGACUUAAUUUCCAGGGAGUGAUUAUCGGGACAAAUAAAAAAAUUGCUGUGAUGAAUGGACUCUAUAGUCCAUCUAAGACAUAAAGAUUAUGAGUUUUUUAUUUGAGGUCGCUUUAUCGAAACACGGUCUCUCACAAUAAUAGUGAUUUCGACAAACUUUUUUUUGUUUUUGAAAAAAAGCACCAUACAAUUUAGAAUUUUGUUUUUCUACAAAAUUUCAGCUUCACUUCCAUGGCAUAAUAUAAAAACUAAAAACCUAAAACCUGUGUGCAGUCUGUAAUCGACAAAAUUUCAUGUGUAGUUUUUGAUUUUACAUAGUAGACGUAAAGAAUUUUAUUUCAACACCGAACUGUUAUCCUACUCAUAUAGUAGAUAAAAUGUUAAGUUUUUUGUUAUCUUUUAAGUCUUACUAAUUUCAUACAGGUAAUUUCAAAUAGAAAAAGUAUUUAUAAUUUUUCAAACCAAAUGAUAUUUAUUUAGAAGGGCAAAUAGAGUAUAUAAUAAAUAGUGGACGAAAAAUCCUAAUAACGCCCUACAUUAAAGGGAAACGGCUUCAUGACUUGUUAAUUGUUAUAGACUUUUAUUUGAAAGGAUGAAAAAGUAGGAGGCUGUAAUUAUUACACCCAUACAUUAAUAUUACUUAUUUGAAAUAGGAAAAUUUUGUAGAGGAAUAAUUGGGGAAGUCAAUUUGUGAAUGGUUCCCAGUCUGGGUGUUUGGAAUUAUAUAUAGGAACAUGCCAAUUGCCAAUGCUAAAACAACAACAGAAAACCCCACGAAGACGACAAGCAGCACUCAGCAGUCAACAAUCAUUUUUCUAUCUUUCUAAGAUAUUGUCUGAAGCCUGAUAUAUCCGAUAAAGAACUUAUUAUAUGAAAAUUUAUGUGAAUAAUAUAAUUUUUUUAAAUUUUAUCAUAAUAAUACUAACUCUGGAUUAAUUAUAAAUAAUAUCAUUUUAGAGGGUUUUUUUAAAAUAAUAUCAACUUUAGUUUUUUAAGUAAUUUAUCAAUUUUUUUGUCAUAUAAUCUUCUAUAUUUUGAUUUUUAACAUGUUAAGGAUAUUUUAAGAAAACACCCCCUAAGUUGGUAUUAUCCAUAGUUAAUCAAAAAAUUUUAUUGUUGUAGGAAAAUAAGUAAAAAUCUGUAUUAUUCUUGGUAACUUUUUCCUUAUUAUAUAUAUAUAUAUGAAUGUUGCAUGCUAAUUAGGGAUGGUCAUGGGUUCAGGACCCUUUUGGAUCCGCUUUGGACGUGCCCCUUUUUUAAGGGUCUGGGUAUUAAUUUUUGAGACCCAUCGGAUCUGGAUUCGGGUCUGGAUCCAAAAAAAACUGACGGGUCCGGGUCCGGGUGGAUCCGGGUCCUAAGGUGAAGACCCGAACCCUAAACUUUUAAAUUUUAUAUUUUUAAUUUCUGAUUUCUUAAUUCUAAUAUCAUGAAUAAUCUCAUUCUGGAAUUGAAAUCUGUUAUCUUUUUUUACCUUUAUUUACAUUGUUGUAUAUAAACAUUGUUCUUCAUUUUUGUUCCCUGAAUUUGUGGUUUAUUCUUUCUUAAAUUUGUGUGAUUUUUAAUAAUUCUACCCAAUUUUUUCUCUUUUUCCAUGUAUAAUUACUCCUUAACAUUGUCUUUUACUUCCUCGAUUUAAGCAUAAUGUUUCCAAGCUUAUUUGAUCAAUUUUGAUACUAAAUUGUGUUUUUUCUUCUCUGCCAUUUCUGUCUUCUUUGUUCUUCCUUUCUUUUACUGCAAGACAAAAACUGAUAUAAUAUUUUCAAAGCCAUCUUUAA
Molecule: long non-coding RNA, 9699 nt
Organism: Amaranthus tricolor (Joseph's coat)
Lineage: Eukaryota; Viridiplantae; Streptophyta; Magnoliopsida; Caryophyllales; Amaranthaceae
Exons: 4
Source: RefSeq, a predicted model, not a curated record